This 396-nucleotide ribosomal RNA is filed under the name uncultured bacterium. RNAcentral describes it as "partial 16S ribosomal RNA". It matches the Rfam family "Bacterial small subunit ribosomal RNA", at positions 523 to 918 of the family's 1533-position model. The record is from RNAcentral.
AUACGUAGGGGGCGAGCGUUGUCCGGAAUGAUUGGGCGUAAAGGGCGCGUAGGCGGCGCGGUAAGUCUGGAGUGAAAGUCCUGCUUUCAAGGUGGGAAUUGCUUUGGAUACUGCCGCGCUUGAGUGCAGGAGAGGUUAUCGGAAUUCCCGGUGUAGCGGUGAAAUGCGUAGAGAUCGGGAGGAACACAGUGGCGAAGGCGGGUAACUGGACUGCAACUGACGCUGAGGCGCGAAAGUGUGGGGAGCAAACAGGAUUAGAUACCCUGGUAGUCCACACUGUAAACGAUGAAUGCUAGGUGUAAGAGGUAUCGACCCCUUUUGUGCCGGAGUCAACACAAUAAGCAUUCCGCCUGGGGAGUACGGCCGCAAGGUUGAAACUCAAAGGAAUUGACGGGG